UAGAGUAGUCAUCACCAAAUGCAAACAGAAGCUAUGGAAAUCUACAAAAUCAAAUUUGAAAAAGCACAUAAAGACGACAAACAAAUGUAAAACAAUUAGUGCAUACCUUAAGACAGCAAGGAACAAAUGUAAAAGGCUCGUAAUACUUAAGUCUAGAAGUGCGUGAGUAAUAGCACAGAACGCAAAAGUACAUAACUACCAAAGCAGCAUGAGUAUCUUUUUGGUUUUCCACCAUCGUCAACAACAAAAUUUGCUGUAUAAAGUUUACUUCUUAGCCCACAGAAGAACCUCUAUAGAUCUAGAGAACAUUUAUGUUUUAGAGGGCAGC
This 328-nucleotide long non-coding RNA is filed under the name Nicotiana tabacum (common tobacco). RNAcentral's name for it is "long non-coding RNA (NTAB_LNC013420)". The record is from RNAcentral. Lineage: Eukaryota; Viridiplantae; Streptophyta; Magnoliopsida; Solanales; Solanaceae.